Molecule: ribosomal RNA, 494 nt
Filed under: uncultured bacterium
Lineage: Bacteria
Description: partial 16S ribosomal RNA
Rfam family: Bacterial small subunit ribosomal RNA
Source: RNAcentral
GACGAACGCUGGCGGCGCGCUUAACACAUGCAAGUCGAACGGAAAGGCCUGCUUUCUCUUGUGGAUUGCGGGUACUCGAGUGGCGAACGGGUGAGUAACACGUGAGUGAUCUGCCCCCAACUUGGGUAUAAGCCUGGGAAACUGGGUCUAAUUCCCGAUAGGACUGCAGGGUGGUGCCUGUGGUGGAAAACGAUUUUCUAGUGGUUGGGGAUGAGCUCGCGGCCUAUCAGCUUGUUGGUGGGGUAAUGGCCUACCAAGGCGGCGACGGGUAGCCGGCCUGAGAGGGUGGACGGCCACAUUGGGACUGAGAUACGGCCCAGACUCCUACGGGAGGCAGCAGUGGGGAAUAUUGCACAAUGGGCGGAAGCCUGAUGCAGCGACGCCGCGUGGGGGAUGACGGCCUUCGGGUUGUAAACUCCUUUCGACCGCGAGGAAGCCACCUGGUUGGAAGGGUGGUGACGGUAGUGGUAGAAGAAGCACCGGCUAACUACGUG